This 830-nucleotide ribosomal RNA is filed under the name Scinax hayii (Hay's snouted treefrog). Its description in RNAcentral is "partial 12S ribosomal RNA". It matches the Rfam family "Bacterial small subunit ribosomal RNA", at positions 397 to 1453 of the family's 1533-position model. Lineage: Eukaryota; Metazoa; Chordata; Amphibia; Anura; Hylidae. The record is from RNAcentral.
GCCCCCCUGUGAGAACGCCCUUAAAUCCCUCUAGGGAUCAGGAGCUGGUAUCAGGCUCGAUUUUCAGCCCACAACACCUAGCCACGCCACACCCACAAGGGUAUACAGCAGUGAUCAACAUUGUCCAUAAGCGCAAGCUUGAUUCAGUCAGGGUAAACAGAGCCGGCAAACCUGGUGCCAGCCGCCGCGGCCACACCACGGGCUCAAAUUGAUUGCGUUCGGCGUAAAGCGUGAUUAAAGUCCCCCCUUACCUGCAGUUAAACUGAACCUAAGACGUAGAACCCUUUGAAUUCAGGAAACACAGAAACGAAAGUUACUGCAAAACAACCAACUUGACUUCACGACAGUUAAGACACAAACUGGGAUUAGAUACCCCACUAUGCUUAACCGUAAAACUUUAACUUACACCCAAAUCGCCUGGGAACUACGAGCAAUGCUUAAAACCCAAAGGACUUGACGGUGCCCCAUUCCACCUAGAGGAGCCUGUCCUAUAAUCGAUAACCCCCGUUUAACCUCACCACUCUUCGCUUGUCAGUCUGUAUACCUCCGUCGUCAGUUUACCACGUGAGCGAUCUCAGUAAGCAAAAAGGCCUUAUUCACCAAAACGUCAGGUCAAGGUGCAGCUAAUAGAGUGGGAAGAGAUGGGCUACACUCUCUAAUAUAGAAAAUACGAAAAACUACCGAUGAAACUCGAGUUAGAAGGCGGAUUUAGCAGUAAAAUGAGACAAAAGCGCUCAUUUAAACACGGCCCUGGGGUGUGUACACACCGCCCGUCACCCUCUUCGAAACCUAAAGAAUAGUAUGUAACACCCUAUUACCCAUAAAGAAGA